UGCUCAGGACGAACGCUGGCGGCGUGCCUAAUACAUGCAAGUUGAGCGCUGAAGGUUGGUACUUGUACCGACUGGAUGAGCAGCGAACGGGUGAGUAACGCGUGGGGAAUCUGCCUUUGAGCGGGGGACAACAUUUGGAAACGAAUGCUAAUACCGCAUAAAAACUUUAAACACAAGUUUUAAGUUUGAAAGAUGCAAUUGCAUCACUCAAAGAUGAUCCCGCGUUGUAUUAGCUAGUUGGUGAGGUAAAGGCUCACCAAGGCGAUGAUACAUAGCCGACCUGAGAGGGUGAUCGGCCACAUUGNGACUGAGACACG
RNAcentral lists this ribosomal RNA (317 nucleotides) under Lactococcus lactis subsp. lactis. Its description in RNAcentral is "bacterial SSU rRNA". It matches the Rfam family "Bacterial small subunit ribosomal RNA", at positions 21 to 328 of the family's 1533-position model. Lineage: Bacteria; Bacillati; Bacillota; Bacilli; Lactobacillales; Streptococcaceae. The record is from RNAcentral.